This 253-nucleotide ribosomal RNA is filed under the name uncultured bacterium. Its description in RNAcentral is "partial 16S ribosomal RNA". It matches the Rfam family "Bacterial small subunit ribosomal RNA", at positions 524 to 776 of the family's 1533-position model. The record is from RNAcentral.
GACGUAGGGUGCGAGCGUUGUCCGGAUUUACUGGGCGUAAAGAGCGCGUAGGCGGCUCGUUAAGUGUAGGGUUAAAUCCCCAGGCUCAACCUGGGAGCUGCCCUGCAUACUGGCGAGCUGGAGGGACCGAGAGGUGAGUGGAAUUCCCGGUGUAGCGGUGAAAUGCGUUGAUAUCGGGAGGAACACCCAUGGCGAAGGCAGCUCACUGGCGGUCGCCUGACGCUGAGGCGCGAAAGCGUGGGUAGCAAACAGG